UAAUUUGUACUGUGAUUUGUUAGUCAGAUAUGAUAUCAUACAUAUAAUGGCUUCUUUGUUGCUGAGAUGAAUGUGGUGCCUUGUGAUUUGAAAAGAGUUGGUGUGUUAAAAACUUUUCACACAGUACAGCCAAAUUUAUUAUGUGUUUUUCGAUGUAUAACUUACAUUGACUUAUUUCCUCAAUUAUGUUGCCAACUUUACACAACGAUUAUACAUUGCGUGGUUUGAUCACGUCAAUUCCCAACAUUAAUAAGAAAGAUGCAAUAUUUUGUGUUGCAAAGAAUGAUUUUUACCUAUAAAAUAACUUAUAGAAACGGCAACCUUCAGUGAUUUUAGGCUUGUCUUAUUUUUUACCAUGAGCUCAAAUUACACCGGAAAUG
This 380-nucleotide long non-coding RNA is filed under the name Mytilus galloprovincialis (Mediterranean mussel). Lineage: Eukaryota; Metazoa; Mollusca; Bivalvia; Mytilida; Mytilidae. The record is from RNAcentral.